UAUUUUGUACAAAUACACUUCCAGCAGUCGUUCCGAAUCUUUCGAUAGGGGGCGCUAUCUUCACGCGCCUCUAAAAGCAACGCGACACUCUGGUCACGUGGUAUGCCCGAGUAGGACGGCCAUCUUCCCUAAAACACAAACAACAAGAGCGUACUAGACAUCAACACGCAACGAUCAUUGGAGAGGGAGAGAGAGCAAACAACUGUAAACACGGACCACGAUUCUCGAGGAGGAGCACAGAACACAAACAGCUGCACAUGCAUCCAGAGUGAAGAUCGUCGAGUUCGACGGGGCGACUGGACAGUAACAAAUACGAUAAAGGAGGGAGAGGGAUUGUCGGCGUGAGGAGGGGGUCACCAGCUGGGACCUGGUCCAUGCAGCAUUGCCAGUACAACAGAAAGAGUUAAAAAGACACACACAAAUAGAGAAGCUUAAGAGAGAAGCUUAUUGGGGUCAUAACUGCUUCUGGCAGCUGUAUUAUCAACAAGUUCGUCUCUUUUUUUUUUUUUUUGUCUCUUUGACUGUUUUGUUUGUUUCCUGUAGUCGAUCGAUUUAAGACGUCAGUAUCAAAGCUCUGCAGUUUUCGCAGUCCAACAGGUAUUACUCAUUUUAGGGGGGUUUGAUUUCUUUUUUUUUUGUUUCCCAUUUGUUUUUAUUUGUUUGUUUUCAUCGGCUGUGAAUGAGAGCUCUUACCGUGUCUGACCUUUUGUAUUUCUGCUCUCCUGCACACACGCCCUGAGUAAGGCAGCUAUAACCCUACUCUCUCUUAAGUUGGCUACUUUGAAAUACACACACACAUAAACACACACACACACCUUUCAGCCCUCUCACCCAGACCUGGUCCAGCCUAGUCUUGCCUGCGCCACUCCCCCGGACAGGACUUUCACCUCUGAGAAGGAAGGAAGAAUAUGACUGCUGAAACACUUAACUUUGGCCCAGAAUGG
This is a long non-coding RNA of Sinocyclocheilus grahami, 944 nucleotides long. RefSeq lists it as uncharacterized. The record is from RefSeq and is a predicted model, not a curated record. Lineage: Eukaryota; Metazoa; Chordata; Actinopteri; Cypriniformes; Cyprinidae. The transcript has 3 exons.